RNAcentral lists this small RNA (168 nucleotides) under Tepidanaerobacter syntrophicus. RNAcentral describes it as "c-di-AMP sequence". It matches the Rfam family "c-di-AMP riboswitch aptamer (ydaO/yuaA leader)". Rfam says of the family: This family represents a conserved RNA structure found upstream of the ydaO and yuaA genes in Bacillus subtilis and related genes in other bacteria. The ydaO/yuaA element is thought to act as a genetic "off" switch for the ydaO and yuaA genes in its native state. Lineage: Bacteria; Bacillati; Bacillota; Clostridia; Thermosediminibacterales; Tepidanaerobacteraceae. The record is from Rfam by way of RNAcentral.
UCAAUCUGAGCGCUUAAUUCUUUCGAAAAGAAAGAAGCGGGGGAACCACUUUUGGGGUGAAUCCCCUUUGACCAAGAAAUCAAAUUGCAAGUUCUUGAUUAGAGGGGUAGGGUUACACUCUUCGACCCGAAUCCGACAGCUAACCUCGCCAGCGUUGUAAGAGGAGGU